RNAcentral lists this ribosomal RNA (521 nucleotides) under uncultured organism. Its description in RNAcentral is "SSU rRNA". It matches the Rfam family "Bacterial small subunit ribosomal RNA", at positions 41 to 509 of the family's 1533-position model. The record is from RNAcentral.
GGCAUGCCUAAGACAUGCAAGUCGAACGAGGUGGCCCAGAAAUAUUAAUGAAGCAUGAAGUGCUUGCACGGAUUGUGGAAUUAUUUGGCUCUGGAUUCUCCACCUAGUGGCAAACGGGUGAGUAACACGUGGGUUACCUACCUCCAAGUUGGGGAUAACAGUUGGAAACGACUGAUAAUACCGAAUGUGCUCUACGGAGUAAAGAAGCCCUUAAAGCUUCGCUUAGAGAUGGGCCUGCGGCGUAUUAGCUAGUUGGUGGGAUAACGGCCUACCAAGGCAACGAUGCGUAGCCGAACUGAGAGGUUAAUCGGCCACACUGGGACUGAGACACGGCCCAGACUCCUACGGGAGACAGCAGUUAGGAAUAUUCGUCAAUGGGGGAAACCCUGAACGAGCAAUGCCGCGUGAACGAUGAAGGCCCUAUGGGUUGUAAAGUUCUGUUGUUUGGAAAGAACUGUAAGAAUAGGAAAUGAUUCUUACUUGACGGUACCAUUCAAGAAAGCCACGGCUAACUACGUGCC